UACGUAGGGACCGAGCGUUGUCCGGAAUUAUUGGGCGUAAAGAGCUCGUAGGCGGUCUGUCGCGUCUGGUGUGAAAACUCGGGGCUUAACUCCGGGCCUGCAUCGGGUACGGGCAGACUAGAGUGCGGUAGGGGAGACUGGAAUUCCUGGUGUAGCGGUGAAAUGCGCAGAUAUCAGGAGGAACACCGGUGGCGAAGGCGGGUCUCUGGGCCGUAACUGACGCUGAGGAGCGAAAGCAUGGGGAGCGAACAGG
RNAcentral lists this ribosomal RNA (253 nucleotides) under uncultured bacterium. RNAcentral's name for it is "partial 16S ribosomal RNA". It matches the Rfam family "Bacterial small subunit ribosomal RNA", at positions 524 to 776 of the family's 1533-position model. The record is from RNAcentral.